UGCCAGCCGCCGCGGUAAUACGGAGGGUGCAAGCGUUAAUCGGAAUCACUGGGCGUAAAGCGCGCGUAGGCGGUUGUGUAAGUCGGAUGUGAAAGCCCAGGGCUUAACCUUGGAACUGCAUUCGAUACUGCAUGACUAGAGUGUGGUAGAGGGAAGUGGAAUUUCCGGUGUAGCGGUGAAAUGCGUAGAUAUCGGAAGGAACAUCAGUGGCGAAGGCGACUUUCUGGACUGUACCUGACGCUGAGGCGCGAAAGCAUGGGUAGCGAACAGGAUUAGAUA
RNAcentral lists this ribosomal RNA (279 nucleotides) under uncultured bacterium. Its description in RNAcentral is "partial 16S ribosomal RNA". It matches the Rfam family "Bacterial small subunit ribosomal RNA", at positions 506 to 784 of the family's 1533-position model. The record is from RNAcentral.